RNAcentral lists this ribosomal RNA (460 nucleotides) under uncultured bacterium. RNAcentral describes it as "partial 16S ribosomal RNA". It matches the Rfam family "Bacterial small subunit ribosomal RNA", at positions 338 to 795 of the family's 1533-position model. The record is from RNAcentral.
CCUACGGGGGGCAGCAGUGAGGAAUAUUGGUCAAUGGACGAGAGUCUGAACCAGCCAAGUAGCGUGAAGGAUGACUGCCCUAUGGGUUGUAAACUUCUUUUAUAUGGGAAUAAAAUGUUCCACGUGUGGGUUUUUGUAUGUACCAUAUGAAUAAGGAUCGGCUAACUCCGUGCCAGCAGCCGCGGUAAUACGGAGGAUCCGAGCGUUAUCCGGAUUUAUUGGGUUUAAAGGGAGCGUAGGUGGAUUGUUAAGUCAGUUGUGAAAGUUUGCGGCUCAACCGUAAAAUUGCAGUUGAAACUGGCAGUCUUGAGUACAGUAGAGGUGGGCGGAAUUCGUGGUGUAGCGGUGAAAUGCUUAGAUAUCACGAAGAACUCCGAUUGCGAAGGCAGCUCACUGGACUGCAACGGACACUGAGGCUCGAAAGUGUGUGUAUCAAACAGGAUUAGAUACCCCAGUAGUC